Molecule: long non-coding RNA, 605 nt
Organism: Raphanus sativus (radish)
Lineage: Eukaryota; Viridiplantae; Streptophyta; Magnoliopsida; Brassicales; Brassicaceae
Exons: 2
Source: RefSeq, a predicted model, not a curated record
CGUGUAUGCGAAAGAAGAAACAUUUUCUGUUGGACACGUGUUGGUAGGAGAGAAAAAACACGUUGAGAGGAAAAAAGGUCGAAGUUGACGAAGAAACUCGGUGGUCUCCUCGGUGCUCUCCUCCUCGACGAAGAAUCUCGGCGGUGGCUCUCCUCGGCGAGAAAUCUGGGUUAGCUCUCGUUGACGAAGAUUCUCGGUUGCUCUCCUUUCCUCAACUCAGAAAAUUGUCGGUGAGUCUUCUCGAUGAAGACAAUCGUCAGUUUCUGCUCCUUCUUAAUCGAAAGAGGCAACAAGGAUGGAUUGACCAGGCUUUUAGCUUGGAAGUGACCAGGCUGCAUUCUCUUCACAGCAAACAAACGAACAGAAGCAGCUAUCUAUGCAUGGAAAGAGAGGAUUACAGAACAAGCAAGCAGUAGUAAGUGGUCAUUAGUUAGAGAUUCAUUGUCUGAGAUUAGUUGCAUUGAAUCAUUUAUAAACAGGGCAGUGAGGCUUAAUGGUCAGAUUAAAUCCAAAUACUCUCAUCUUCCUCAAUGAAAGUGUUUUAAUUUUUUUUAAGAACCCAUAAUCAAGAGACUUGCAAUAAACCACCUAAAUGUUCAAAUGUU